Molecule: non-coding RNA, 104 nt
Filed under: Xenorhabdus cabanillasii
Lineage: Bacteria; Pseudomonadati; Pseudomonadota; Gammaproteobacteria; Enterobacterales; Morganellaceae
Also listed under: 1 other name
Description: TPP sequence
Rfam family: TPP riboswitch aptamer (THI element)
About the family: Vitamin B(1) in its active form thiamin pyrophosphate (TPP) is an essential coenzyme that is synthesised by coupling of pyrimidine and thiazole moieties in bacteria.
Source: RNAcentral
GUCAUCUCAACGGGGUGCGAUUGUUGCGGGCAACAUCGCUGAGAACAAACCCGUAGAACCUGAUCCGGCUGAUAUCGGCGUAGGGAUUUGAGUUGCUAUUCAUU